UCGGGAAUUUUGGGCAAUGGGCGAAAGCCUGACCCAGCGACGCCGCGUGAGGGAUGAAGUAUUUCGGUAUGUAAACCUCGAAAGAAUGGGAAGAAUAAAUGACGGUACCAUUUAUAAGCUCCGGCUAACUACGUGCCAGCAGCCGCGGUAAUACGUAGGGAGCAAGCGUUGUUCGGAUUUACUGGGCGUAAAGGGCGCGUAGGCGGCGCGGUAAGUCACUUGUGAAAUCUCUGAGCUUAACUCAGGACGGCCAAGUGAUACUGCUGUGCUAGAGUGCGGAAGAGGCAACCGGAAUUCUUGGUGUAGCGGUGAAAUGCGUAGAUAUCAAGAGGAACACCUGAGGCGAAGGCGGGUUGCUGGGCCGACACUGACGCUGAUGCGCGAAAGCCAGGGGAGCAAACG
This 402-nucleotide ribosomal RNA is filed under the name uncultured bacterium. RNAcentral's name for it is "bacterial SSU rRNA". It matches the Rfam family "Bacterial small subunit ribosomal RNA", at positions 355 to 774 of the family's 1533-position model. The record is from RNAcentral.